RNAcentral lists this ribosomal RNA (253 nucleotides) under uncultured bacterium. RNAcentral describes it as "partial 16S ribosomal RNA". It matches the Rfam family "Bacterial small subunit ribosomal RNA", at positions 524 to 776 of the family's 1533-position model. The record is from RNAcentral.
GACGAAGGGGGCUAGCGUUGUUCGGAAUUACUGGGCGUAAAGCGCGUGUAGGUGGUUGUCCAAGUUGGAUGUGAAAGCCUUGAGCUCAACUCAAGAAAUGCAUUCAGGACUGGGCGACUAGAGGACCGGAGAGGAUAGUGGAAUUCCCAGUGUAGUGGUGAAAUACGUAGAGAUUGGGAAGAACACCAGUGGCGAAGGCGGCUAUCUGGACGGUUUCUGACACUAAGACUCGAAAGCGUGGGGAGCAAACAGG